Molecule: unclassified non-coding RNA, 3452 nt
Filed under: Octopus sinensis (East Asian common octopus)
Lineage: Eukaryota; Metazoa; Mollusca; Cephalopoda; Octopoda; Octopodidae
Description: phosphatidylinositol N-acetylglucosaminyltransferase subunit C-like, transcript variant X6
Source: RNAcentral
CGAGUCGACAAUUUAAUAAGUUCACCGGAAAAAAAUGACGCGAUCUAAAUGGCAAAAGAUUUUGUACGAGGAUCAGGGAGUUAGUGAUAAUUAUGUUGAUGAGACAUUUUUGGAUGAACUCAAAAAAAAUCUGUAUAUCAGAUCCUAUGAUUACUGGAGGGCUGCUCAGGAGUCAGGUACAUUUACUCAACAAAUGUGCAGUGUUUGCAUUUUUGUUGUUGUCUUCAUAUACAUGGAUCAAGAAAAGCUGAGCCCCCAAGUACUUUUCAUUGUUUCUUCUCUUUUGACUCUCAUUGGUUAUUGCAUUAAAGUUAUCAUACAUGACAAACAAGAAAUUAACAAUAAAAGAACAAAAAUGGAUGAUCUGAAGACAGCUGUGAUAUUUGUAUCAUUCAGUUUAAUUCUGUGUCCAGUACUUGUAUCUUUGACACAGACCAUCAGUACAGAUACCAUUUAUUGCAUGAGUACAGUAAUGUUGCUCUCCAAUGUUCUCUUCCAUGACUAUGGUCCUUAUUCUGCUGUUGUGUCAAGUCCUUUGUCAUUGAAUGCAGCUAUCUUUGCUGCUGUUUGUUUAGCAUCAAGACUCCACACACCUUUACAUGCUUUCUCGAUUGUGACUUUUGCACUUGAAAUCUUUGCAUUGUGGCCUAUGCUUCGAAUAGAGUUAAAGAAAAGAGGUUCUAUUUGCCAAAAUACAAUGAGUGUUUUAGUUGGUGUGAUAGCCAGUGCAGCAUUGUGGUCUGUGUCACCUUUUGGAGCAACCAUUUUUAUCACUGUUCAUCUCCUGAUCAAUUUUGCAUGUCCAGCAUGGCUUUGCAGGCUUCAGUCAUCUAAGAACAAUAUUUAUGGUCCUUGGGAUGAAGCCAUCAUCAACAGCAUGGAACAUCCAAAGGUUGCUAGAAACUGAUAUCUUCACCAAAGAGUUAAGAAUUUUUUUUCAAUGUUGAUGUAUAUAUUUAAAAGCUGAAAUGUUCCAGAAGUCUUUUUCAACUGUUUUGGCUGGAUGUCACAGAGUGUGAGGUUUCACUUCAAGAUAUCUCUGAAAUUCAGUUAUGGUCUUCCAAGAUGAUGUUUUCCUGUCACCAGUUCAGAAUUAAAUAUAAUCUUUGAAGAGUCAUCCUUUGAAUAUAUCCAAUGCAGUUGAGUUGAUGUCUAAUGAUCAUUGUUUUGAUGCUUGUAAUUUUUUGCUUGUUGUAGGAUAUUGGUGUUGGUCUUUUAUUCCUAAUUAAUACCUAGUGCUGAGAAAAGUUUUGAUGGAACUAUUCAUUAAGAAGUUGAUGUCUUGCAAGCAUAAAGAAGUGUUCUGAUAACUACUGCUUGGUAUGCAGACAAGUUGGUGUACCAAGCAGUAGUUAUAGCACACUGCUCUACACUUGCAAGGCAUAGACUUCUUAACAGACAGAUUGGUGGUAGUUUUGAGUUUGAGGCCCUCGAAAACUUUUUGAUAAAGUAUUCUAUAUGGAGUAUGGGCUGCACAUAUCCUGUUGUUGAUUUUGUCAAUGGUUGUGUUUGAAGAUUAAAAUGGAACCAAGUUAUAGAAAGCAGGAGACCUGUUUGGAUUGUUGCUGGCAGUUAUUGUGAUGUUUUGUUGUGGGUAUCUUGGAGGGAAUUGAUACAGGUUUCUAAGUCAUGCUAAUCAUUAGGCUUAAAUCACUUAUUUGUUAGAAGUAAUUUUGGUCAUGGUUGGAUUCAUAAUUAACAUCUGCAUUCUGUAUUUCUGAAAUGGUGUUCAUUGAUGGUUAUACAUCAACAAAAAUUAGCUUUGAUUGAAGUUACCUGUGUCAUACUUGCUUCUUCUACUUGUGAAAAAGUCUCAUUUUCAUUUACAACAAUCAAAUGAAUAGCACAAAUGUAUAGUGAAAAGGGGGUCAGUGCAAGUAUGUUCUGUAGCUUCACAACAGUUUUCACCUUAAAUGCUAGCCAUGUCAAUUCAUUUGAUAGCACUUAACACUUCAUGUUGUAAAAGAUAGCUAUAAUAUUGAUUGGAUGCUUUUACAUUAUUUUGAAUUAUGGCAAAAAAUUUCAAUGGAAGGCUAAGUUUCUGAAAUAUUUUCCACAGUAUUUUAUACAUAUCCUAUGGAAAGAUAUUACCAGAUCAUAAAACAAGAGCUGUAGGGGCUUGUGCUUUUUGGCUUUUUCUUGCAGUUGACACAUAGCAAAAAUUAUGUCUACAAAAUCUGCUCUGUGACUCAGAGAAAAGUUUCAAUAAUUAGGUGGCAACCUACUAAUAGGCAAGUUAAAAUAUGGAUUCUGAUUAUUAACAGAGAUAUUAUUUUUUAGUAUUAACAAUUGGCCUUUGAUUUCCAGAUACAUUUGAGAAGGCUACAUGCAGCAUUUUUUCAUUAGUGCUAUAUUUGGCAGCAGCCAAAUAUGUUUCAUGUUUUAACCAUUGCCUUAGUUGUGUUGUGAUGACAUAUAUUUCUACUGCUGCUCUACUCACCAAUAUUUAAUACUAGUAAUAAUGAUAUAGAUGGUUAUGAUAUUGGCUUUCAAUAUUAUUUUGGUAUUUUAUUCUGAUUUCAAAUCCUGCCUAUGUUAAAUUUGUUGUUUGUUUGAGUUUUGCUAAAAAUAACUACCAUUAAUAUACUGGAUUUAAUUUAAAUGAUAAUACAUCCUCUUAACCAAAAAUGACUGUUUAGUUCAAAGAAAACAAUAUUUUAACAUUAAAAACUAUCAUUCUUCUUGAUUCAUUUUGAUUUUUGUGGUGUACUAAAAGAUUCAACAAUUAGUUUUAAUUUUUUUAUAUUAUUAAUGCAUAAUAACCAAAGAUAUUUUCUGUCUGGUGCAACAGUGAAGAUUAUUCAUAAGAUUUUUAUGAUGGAAAGUUCUAACAUCACUUUUCUGUACUUCAGUAUAUGAAAAGUCAUGUUUUACUGAAAAUUCACUAUUGUUGCCUCCUAUUUUAAUUGUUCUAGAUGAGACAACUCUAGAUUUCUUAUCUCUGGAAAUUAACAAUUUUAUAAUCUGCUCUCCCUUUUGGAAAAAAAAAAUCCAUUAAGCUGGUCAACUCAUUGAAAUCCACUCAGUCUUCCAUGUAGCUGGAUGUCUUGGGUCUAGUGAGGCUGAUGAAAGUCUAUAUUGAUGUAGAAUUUGAUACUUGUACUAGUUUUUUCAGGAUUUGUCAUAUGGUUAUUGAAAUAUAUUUUUUCAGAUAACAUGUUUAUGUUAUCAAGAAUCUUUAUAAUGUGAAUGAAAUCUCAAUCUGAAGUUGUUGCUUGUAAAGCAAACAUUUCUAAAAGUUUUGGUAAAUCUGUGAUAUGUGUCAAAAGAAGUAAUGAUCUUUGUAGCUUAUUUUUCUGGGGUUUAAAAUUUUUUUUUUUAUGCUGAUUAGAUACAUCCUCAGAAAUGUGCUUAUGAGUAAGGAUUUCAAAAAAUGAAAAAAAGAAACAUAUUCAUUAAUUAUGAUGUAGAAAAAAUUACUUAGUAAACCUUGCAACUCUAUUGAGAGUUCA